GAGGGUAUAGCUCAAAGUGGUAGAACACAUGUUUAGCAUGUAUGAGAUCCUGGGUUCAAUCCCCAGUACCUCCU
Molecule: transfer RNA, 74 nt
Organism: Camelus ferus (Wild Bactrian camel)
Lineage: Eukaryota; Metazoa; Chordata; Mammalia; Artiodactyla; Camelidae
Rfam family: tRNA
About the family: Transfer RNA (tRNA) molecules are approximately 80 nucleotides in length.
Source: Rfam